ACGUUCGGAAACGGACGCUAAUACCGCAUACGUCCUACGGGAGAAAGCAGGGGACCUUCGGGCCUUGCGCUAUCAGAUGAGCCUAGGUCGGAUUAGCUAGUUGGUGAGGUAAUGGCUCACCAAGGCGACGAUCCGUAACUGGUCUGAGAGGAUGAUCAGUCACACUGGAACUGAGACACGGUCCAGACUCCUACGGGAGGCAGCAGUGGGGAAUAUUGGACAAUGGGCGAAAGCCUGAUCCAGCCAUGCCGCGUGUGUGAAGAAGGUCUUCGGAUUGUAAAGCACUUUAAGUUGGGAGGAAGGGUUGUAGAUUAAUACUCUGCAAUUUUGACGUUACCGACAGAAUAAGCACCGGCUAACUCUGUGCCAGCAGCCGCGGUAAUACAGAGGGUGCAAGCGUUAAUCGGAAUUACUGGGCGUAAAGCGCGCGUAGGUGGUUUGUUAAGUUGGAUGUGAAAUCCCCGGGCUCAACCUGGGAACUGCAUUCAAAACUGACUGACUAGAGUAUGGUAGAGGGUGGUGGAAUUUCCUGUGUAGCGGUGAAAUGCGUAGAUAUAGGAAGGAACACCAGUGGCGAAGGCGACCACCUGGACUAAUACUGACACUGAGGUGCGAAAGCGUGGGGGAGCAAACAGGAUUAGAUACCCUGGUAGUCCACGCCGUAAACGAUGUCAACUAGCCGUUGGAAGCCUUGAGCUUUUAGUGGCGCAGCUAACGCAUUAAGUUGACCGCCUGGGGAGUACGGCCGCAAGGUUAAAACUCAAAUGAAUUGACGGGGGCCCGCACAAGCGGUGGAGCAUGUGGUUUAAUUCGAAGCAACGCGAAGAACCUUACCAGGCCUUGACAUCCAAUGAACUUUCUAGAGAUAGAUUGGUGCCUUCGGGAACAUUGAGACAGGUGCUGCAUGGCUGUCGUCAGCUCGUGUCGUGAGAUGUUGGGUUAAGUCCCGUAACGAGCGCAACCCUUGUCCUUAGUUACCAGCACGUUAUGGUGGGCACUCUAAGGAGACUGCCGGUGACAAACCGGAGGAAGGUGGGGAUGACGUCAAGUCAUCAUGGCCCUUACGGCCUGGGCUACACACGUGCUACAAUGGUCGGUACAGAGGGUUGCCAAGCCGCGAGGUGGAGCUAAUCCCAUAAAACCGAUCGUAGUCCGGAUCGCAGUCUGCAACUCGACUGCGUGAAGUCGGAAUCGCUAGUAAUCGCGAAUCAGAAUGUCGCGGUGAAUACGUUCCCGGGCCUUGUACACACCGCCCGUCACACCAUGGGAGUGGGUUGCACCAGAAGUAGCUAGUCUAACCUUCGUGAGAACCGUUAUCAAGGCGCUUUGAUCGUGC
Molecule: ribosomal RNA, 1336 nt
Filed under: Pseudomonas azotoformans
Lineage: Bacteria; Pseudomonadati; Pseudomonadota; Gammaproteobacteria; Pseudomonadales; Pseudomonadaceae
Description: bacterial SSU rRNA
Rfam family: Bacterial small subunit ribosomal RNA
Source: RNAcentral